This 433-nucleotide ribosomal RNA is filed under the name uncultured bacterium. Its description in RNAcentral is "bacterial SSU rRNA". It matches the Rfam family "Bacterial small subunit ribosomal RNA", at positions 355 to 796 of the family's 1533-position model. The record is from RNAcentral.
UCGAGGAUCUUCGGCAAUGGGCGCAAGCCUGACCGAGCGACGCCGCGUGCGCGAUGAAGGCCUUCGGGUUGUAAAGCGCUGUCGAGGGGGAGGAAAGCCGCAAGGCCUGACCUAUCCCUGGAGGAAGCACGGGCUAAGUUCGUGCCAGCAGCCGCGGUAAGACGAACCGUGCGAACGUUGUUCGGAAUCACUGGGCUUAAAGGGCGCGUAGGCGGCUCCACAAGUCGGGGGUGAAAUCUUUCGGCUCAACCGGAAAAGUGCCUCCGAUACUGUGGAGCUCGAGGGAGGUAGGGGCGGACGGAACUUCCGGUGGAGCGGUGAAAUGCGUUGAUAUCGGAAGGAACGCCGGUGGCGAAAGCGGUCCGCUGGCCCUCUACUGACGCUGAGGCGCGAAAGCCAGGGGAGCAAACGGGAUUAGAUACCCCCGUAGUCC